RNAcentral lists this ribosomal RNA (301 nucleotides) under uncultured bacterium. Its description in RNAcentral is "partial 16S ribosomal RNA". It matches the Rfam family "Bacterial small subunit ribosomal RNA", at positions 509 to 807 of the family's 1533-position model. The record is from RNAcentral.
CAGCCGCCGCGGUAAUACGGAGGGUGCAAGCGUUAUCCGGAUUUAUUGGGUUUAAAGGGUCCGUAGGCGGACUUAUAAGUCAGUGGUGAAAGCCUGUCGCUUAACGAUAGAACUGCCAUUGAUACUGUAAGUCUUGAGUAUAUUUGAGGUAGCUGGAAUAAGUAGUGUAGCGGUGAAAUGCAUAGAUAUUUCUUAGAACACCAAUUGCGAAGGCAGGUUACCAAGAUAUAACUGACGCUGAGGGACGAAAGCGUGGGUAGCGAACAGGAUUAGAUACCCGCGUAGUCCCUGUCUCUUAUAC